UAGGUUGAAUUUGGCACACAUAUUUUCAUCUUAUCAACAAGGAAUGACACAUGUAGAAUCUAAUAUAGUAAAAUGAUAAGAAGGAACUAGGAAGAUUGAGAAACACCUCAUAGGUGGACGUGUUGUCUUGCGCCUCUGUGUAGGUGCAGUCUGCAAUGUGUGGAUUUGGUCGCCAGCAUGGCGCAUUAUGCGCCUACGGCCAGCUACAUAAACAGAAAAGAUCUCAUUUUUAACAUCGAUAGAAAAGAUCAAAGAGAAAGGGAUGCUUCACUUGUGGGGAAAUGGUCACAUCAGGGAUAAUUGCCCAAACAAAACCGUACCCAAGAAGAGGAGUAGCAAAGGCACACCAGACCUAGUUCGGGAUCUGAUUGUCACCUUUCCUUAAACUGAUGUGCACCGGACCGAGUUCGUGCACCACCAGACCGGUUGGUGACGUCAGCUAGCCAUUGCGCGCGGGGGGAGGGUGUCACACCCGGGUUUUAGGGGUCCAAAGCCUGGGCGUAAACAUAAUCACCAGGUGUGCUGGGACCAAGUCUCACACAUAUGAUGAAUCAUGGCACAGGAUCGAAUGUCACAUCUUUACUACAUAACAGGAGUUCUAUACAAAAUAAAUAAAUAAUUACAUUAUAAGGAGACAACGGUCCAACAACCCAAAGUUGACUGGGAGACGACGACCUAGACCUCUCACGAACUCAUCGCAGCAUCCUCCACGCGCCUCAUCCUGUGGUACCUGUUCUUGACCUGUGGGGGGGUGUGAGACAGCAAGAGUGAGCUCACAUACGUUCAUCGCUCAACAAGUUGUGGGGAAUAAUGUGCAUGAACUCGCCAAAGGUGGGAGCUCACGUGAAGUGUAAGGCUUACCAAAGAGGAUGGUUGAAGCUGAGCAUUGCUUUUAAAGUUGGUCAAAAUUUUAUUAGCAAUUACUAAGUAUAAGUAAAUACCAACCCAAUUAAGUAGUAGAACAAAAGUAACAACAUCACCUGCGAUGCAAUGCAUAUUACAAAUUGAAUUUAAGUUCCAUAAAUUAAUCAUGUGAGGGUCCGAGCUGCUCAUGACCGUGAGCACGGCUAGUAUACCAGUUUUACACUCUGCAGAGGUGGCGCAUCUUUACCCACAAGUCAUGUUACCCAUCUGCCAAGGGAUCGCGACUUCCCGUACACCUCUACCGAGGAGGCGAGGCAGGGUAACACUACGAGGCCUUUACAAAGUUCCACUAGCUUCAGAAAACCCGCUACAGUUUAUAGGAAGCUCCAAUGCAAGAAUUCCCUUGCAGGACCGCCAUCGCAGCAAAAUCCUCCCGAGGGUCUCCCUACACUGACCACUCCCCUACUGCCCUUGCCCCUUUCGGGUAAGGUAGUCCUCCACUAGCUUUCCUAAUUAAUCAGCCAAGGGCGUCCCAUUAUACCCUUGUGGUAGCACUGUUUUCCCGGGUGGUCGCUCCAUGUUCCAAUUAACAUAAUGAUCUUAUCAUGAACGAUAAAUAACAACAGAUAACAAAAGUAUAAUCAUGAGUAAUGUAUCUUCAUACCCAAAUCCACAUAAAGCACUAGCAAGUACUACCCAAAAAGUUCAGUGGUAACAAGGUAUAAAGAUAAUCAAACUAGGGUAACCUAUUGGGUCCCAUCAAAAUUAACCUAUGCAGAUCAUUAUGAUUAAUCAGAACAUGAGUGGGUAAAAAGAAGUGAUCAAGGGCACAACUUGCCUGGGACUCGAGAUUCCAGGUACCAGGAUGAUCUUCAGAUGACUCGUAACCUCGCUCUAGUUGUAGCAAUACAAAUAAACAGUGUAUAUGCAAAAUUAACAUUACACCAAACAUAUAUGCAAAAUACAUAUUAAUAAUCUACCUAUUGAAAUAAAAUUCUAGGAACAGGAAUCACAAUUUUUGGAGUUAUAGAUUUUAAGUUAUGAAUUUCUUAAGAUUUUAUGUAUUUUGUACAAGAUUAAAUAGAGUACAAAUUUUAAUGUGUAUUUCAUGUGAAAUAGUGGUACUAGAUGAUAAACCAUAAUAUUACAAAAUUAUAGGAACUGGAACGAGUCAAAAAGGAGUUAAAAUGUAUUUUCUAGGAAUUAAAGAAGUUUCUGGGAUUAAUUUUGCACUAUUAAUCAUUUUCUAAAUGAAUUUCCAUAGUUUAUUCCCUGACUGGACUGCGCACCAAAAACUAGAAAGUGCAGGGGCUAAUCUAUAAAUCUUCAGCAGACCCAGACCUACCCCGCGGUGGACGGCGGGUUGUUUUUGAAAUAAGUCAGGGUCUCUUUAGCAAGAUUACCAGGCCGAAGGGGUAUCUCCCGAUCUUAGUCAUUGGAUUACACCGACGGUCAGGAUCAGAUCCCGCCUAUUAUGAACCAGCGAGCGUGCAAAACCGUCCGAUCACAAUCCAGCGUCCCAAAUCCGCAGUGGCGAAAGGGGUAUGCGCGAUCUAAUCAUUGCCGUCGACGAUUGAUCUAACGACACACAGAGCUUGCCCCCAAACCGGUACCCGCCUUCAAUCCCAGCCGUUGAAGUUGGGAUCAACGGCCAGCGCACCACUUUUACCCUCCCUUCCAAGACCGGCGGCCGUGUACAGGGCCACGAGCGCGGCGGCGCCAUGGAUGAGGCCACACAUCCAAUGACCCCGAUGCGCUAAACUCCGUUCCAAAGGAUGCUAAACAUAGCGGCGAACCAGGCGAGCAUGAUAGAGUGGACUCACCGAUGGAUUGCGUAGUGCUUUUCUCUGUCUUCGUUGCACGGCGGAGAUCCGGCGGAGCGAUACGACGGCGAGGAAUUGGAGCAAAACCGGCAGUUGAUCACGAGUAGCGCGGCCCCACACGUCCUUCCCAGAACUUGAGGAAAGUCCCCGAGCACUUCACGGGGCAGACGACUGCGCGGCAGGGGAUUUCCCCCCCACGGCGGAGCACAACCCCUCUCCUCUCGGUUCCCUCCCAUGACGCCGGUGGCAGUGGCCAAGUAGUUCUCGUGAUUGAGGGCUAAAGGUCAGCGAUCUGCGCAGGGAUUUAUUCCCCCUCGGGCGGAAGCCGGUUAUCCAGCUCCGAGCAGGUCAGGCGCCCGAGGAUUCCGUGCGCGCGCAGGAGAAAUCGCUAUUUCUGUUGAGGAAGAUGGAG
This 3099-nucleotide long non-coding RNA is filed under the name Zea mays. Its description in RNAcentral is "long non-coding RNA (ZMAY_LNC003415)". Lineage: Eukaryota; Viridiplantae; Streptophyta; Magnoliopsida; Poales; Poaceae. The record is from RNAcentral.